AUGCCGCUUCCCCGCGUAUCGCUCCGCCUCCUGCCGCCGCCGCCGCCGCACGCCGGCGCGGCCGUCCUCCACCGUCUCCUUCGCGGCCUCUGCACAACGGAAGCGCCUCCCUCCCCCCUCUCCCCGUCCGAGCUCGACACCAUCUCCGCGCUCAUCCCGCGGCUCAUCUCCGAGGGCCAGGUCCCCGCCGCCGGCCGCCUCCUCUCCGCGGCGCUCCUCCUGCCGGGCUCCCCGGAGCGCCUCCCGUUCCCCCCGCUCGCCGAGCACCUCGCCUCCCUGCCCACCCUCACCCCGGCCUUCGCCCUACUCACCGCGCUCCGCCACCACCCCGUCCGCCCCUCGCCGCUCCCGCUCGCCACCCCGCUCCUCGGCCACCUCCUCGCGAUGCGCCGCGCCCGCGAGGCCGCCUCCGUGCUCCGCUGGCUCUGCCGCCCCGACUCCCCGCGCCGGCCCGACGCCGCCACCUACGGCAUCGCCGUCGCCGGGUUCUGCAGGCUCGGGGACCCCAAGAGCGCGCUCGUCGCCCUCGGCGAGAUGGCCUCCGACGGGGUUCCGCCCUCGCGGGAGCUGCAGGAGGCGGUGCGGGACGCGAUGCUGCAGGACGCGAGGGUCGAGGAGGCGUGGGCGCUGGAGGAGGCUAUGCGGCUGCCGGAGCCCAAGAAGACGGUGGAGAUGGUCGACAAGCUUCUUGGAGCGUGGGAAGACUGA
Molecule: ribosomal RNA, 708 nt
Filed under: Triticum aestivum (bread wheat)
Lineage: Eukaryota; Viridiplantae; Streptophyta; Magnoliopsida; Poales; Poaceae
Description: partial small subunit ribosomal RNA
Source: RNAcentral